Molecule: ribosomal RNA, 228 nt
Filed under: uncultured bacterium
Lineage: Bacteria
Description: partial 16S ribosomal RNA
Rfam family: Bacterial small subunit ribosomal RNA
Source: RNAcentral
CGGGAGGUGAGUAUGUCGUAGGAACUCGCUGAGUGGGAGGGGAUACUACUGGAAACGGUAGCUAAUACCGCAUAACGUCGCAAGACCAAGAGGGGGACCUUCGGGCCUCUUGCCAUCGGAUGUGCCCAGAUGGGAUUAGCUAGUAGGUGGGGUAACGGCUCACCUAGGCGACGAUCCCUAGCUGGUCUGAGAGGAUGCCAGCCACACUGGAACUGAGACACGGUCCAG